This 497-nucleotide ribosomal RNA is filed under the name uncultured bacterium. RNAcentral's name for it is "partial 16S ribosomal RNA". It matches the Rfam family "Bacterial small subunit ribosomal RNA", at positions 28 to 507 of the family's 1533-position model. The record is from RNAcentral.
GAUGAACGCUGGCGGCGUGCCUAAUACAUGCAAGUCGAGCGAACGGACGAGAAGCUUGCUUCUCUGAUGUUAGCGGCGGACGGGUGAGUAACACGUGGAUAACCUACCUAUAAGACUGGGAUAACUUCGGGAAACCGGAGCUAAUACCGGAUAAUAUUUUGAACCGCAUGGUUCAAAAGUGAAAGACGGUCUUGCUGUCACUUAUAGAUGCAUCCGCGCUGCAUUAGCUAGUUGGUAAGGUAACGGCUUACCAAGGCAACGAUGCAUAGCCGACCUGAGAGGGUGAUCGGCCACACUGGAACUGAGACAGGGUCCAGACUCCUACGGGAGGCAGCAGUAGGGAAUCUGACGCAAUGGGCGAAAGCCUGACGGAGCAACGCCGCGUGAGUGAUGAAGGUCUUCGGAUCGUAAAACUCUGUUAUUAGGGAAGAACAGAUGUGUAAGUAACUGUGCACAGAUUGACGGUACCUAAUCAGAAAGCCACGGCUAACUACGUG